GAUGAAGAACGCAGCGAAAUGCGAUAAGUAAUGUGAAUUGCAGAAUUCAGUGAAUCAUCGAAUCUUUGAACGCACAUUGCGCCCGCCAGUAUUCUGGCGGGCAUGCCUGUUCGAGCCUCAUUUCAACCAUCAAGCCCCAGGCUUGUGUUGGGGACCUGCGGCUGCCGCAGGCCCUGAAAACCAGUGGCGGGCUCGCUGUCACACCGGGCGUAGUAGAUUUUAUCUCGCUCAGGGCGUGCUGCGGGUUCCGGCCGUUAAAAAGCCUUUUUUACCCAAGGUUGACCUCGGAUCAGGUAGGAAUACCCGCUGAACUUAAGCAUAUCAAUAAGCGGAGGA
Molecule: unclassified non-coding RNA, 336 nt
Filed under: soil metagenome
Description: partial contains 5.8S ribosomal RNA, internal transcribed spacer 2, and large subunit ribosomal RNA
Rfam family: 5.8S ribosomal RNA (bases 1-120)
Source: RNAcentral